RNAcentral lists this ribosomal RNA (270 nucleotides) under uncultured bacterium. Its description in RNAcentral is "partial 16S ribosomal RNA". It matches the Rfam family "Bacterial small subunit ribosomal RNA", at positions 85 to 354 of the family's 1533-position model. The record is from RNAcentral.
CUGCCGGCGACCGGCGCACGGGUGAGUAACACGUAUGCAACCUGCCCUCCGCAGGGGAUAACCCGGAGAAAUCCGGACUAAUACCCCGUGACGCCACCGGAGGGCAUCCUCCGGUGGCCAAAGGAGCGAUCCGGUGGCGGAUGGGCAUGCGGCGCAUUAGCUAGACGGCGGGGUGACGGCCCACCGUGGCGACGAUGCGUAGGGGUUCUGAGAGGAAGGCCCCCCACACUGGGACUGAGACACGGCCCAGACUCCUACGGGAGGCAGCAG